RNAcentral lists this ribosomal RNA (273 nucleotides) under uncultured bacterium. Its description in RNAcentral is "partial 16S ribosomal RNA". It matches the Rfam family "Bacterial small subunit ribosomal RNA", at positions 84 to 354 of the family's 1533-position model. The record is from RNAcentral.
CCCGCCGGCGACCGGCGCACGGGUGAGUAACACGUAUGCAACCUGGCCGCCACAGGGGGAUAACCCGCGGAAACGCGGCCUAAUACCCCGUGACGCCACCGGAGGGCAUCCUCCGGUGGCCAAAGGAGCGAUCCGGUGGCGGAUGGGCAUGCGGCGCAUUAGCUAGACGGCGGGGUGACGGCCCACCGUGGCGACGAUGCGUAGGGGUUCUGAGAGGAAGGCCCCCCCACACUGGGACUGAGACACGGCCCAGACUCCUACGGGAGGCAGCAG